Molecule: long non-coding RNA, 3855 nt
Filed under: Homo sapiens (human)
Lineage: Eukaryota; Metazoa; Chordata; Mammalia; Primates; Hominidae
Description: HSALNT0148064
Source: RNAcentral
UUGUGCCAUUGCACUCCAGCCUGGGCAACAAGAGCGAUACUCCAUUUCAAAAUAAUAAUAAUGAUGAUAAUAAUAAUUAUUAUAAUAAGGAGAAACUUACUUGGCAAAUUCAGAGAUGGGAAAUCUUGAAAGAGUCUCUCAAUUGGAAAUGAAGGAAAUUGGGCAGCAUUUUCUUCUUCAUUUCUCACCUUCUCCUCUAGGUACCAGACAGACUCCUGGGAAGUCAGGGAAGUCAGGAGAAAAAGUUUCAGUCUCGCCUAGGACAGAUAGGACAGAAAGCUCAUGUUGACAAGCCAGAGCUGAGGGGGCUGCCACCAGUUAAGAUCUUCUCAAGCACAAGCAUUCCAGUACUAUUAGCCCUCCCUUGGACACAAAGAGUAGUGGCCAGACUGGGGUCAUGCUCAACGUGGGGUAGCAGAGAUGUCUGUGGUGCCCAGAAGUAGAGAAACAGUUCCAGGCUCCAAGCAGAGUGUUUUGAAAAAGACUUUUUUUGUGAAGUAUCAUGAAGCCCUCUCUCAGCUGCAAAGGACUCUUUAUCAGUGACAGCAGUGACUGUAGUGAUGGGUGCAGGGGACAGACCAUUCAACCCAGCUGAAAGGUAUCCUAGGGAACCAGUGAGGAGCCCUGGCUGAUUAAGGAUGUGGCAGUGGAGUGAUAUGAUUAUCAGCUCAGCUUCUUCAGACCGAAGUUAUAGAUCCCAUGAGCCACAUAUUCUGUUUCUGUGUGAUGAUGCCUGGAUGUGGGCCCUGUGUAUGUACAGUGAGUGAAUGGAUGCCUCUCCGGUGGAAGGAUGCUGCAAUUAACGGCCUGGACAGAGGAUGGGGACAUGAAUAAUGGUAGAGUCCAGCAUUAGCACAACACUCCAUUCAUCACUGCUGAAGGGCAAAUGCAUAACCCUCAAAAUGAUCCUGGAAAGAGGAAAAGGGAGAGGAAUUGCAAGUUCCAUGGAACAGUGAUUUACCAUGCAGCAGAGGAUGUGAGCAUCUCCGAAAUAGAAGGGUCCACAUAUUUUGAACUUUAACAUAUAUAAUGAUACUUAUAAUGUGACUGUUACGGGCAGCUGAUUUUUCAUACAAUUGACAUGUGAGUAUUUUCCAGGCAGGCAUCUUAUUUCCUGUGUAUGUGCCCCCUAUUUAUGCAGGACCAUCAACAGGACCAACAUUGAGUAGAAAUCAGUCACAGCAAACCACUUUCCUUUUUAUUUCAUGUACUCUGUACCCUCCUUUAAUGGCAACAUAAUUGCAUCAUAUCAUUGGUUUGUAGUGUGGAGGCUGUGGGUCUGAUUUUUAGUUUCCCAAUCCGUGCAGAAUAUUCAGAAGAAUAGAGGGUUGGAGACCUCUAGUUCAGGUCAAAAUCAGUGUGAAAGGCUUGACUUUGGAAAGGGUAAAGAGAGUUCAAUUUAAACUGAGUCUCCAGCUAGGGGCAGGGAGAGGAAAGAGGAGUUAGUCUCCCACAAGAGGAGACUAGCAUAAUCUUUGUGCCCUAAUUAGGCAUCCUUGGGCUUAGGGAAUUACUAGGGGAUACGGGAGUGUAAUGCAGGAAAACCAAGGCAGAAGUCAUGUCCGAGAGUCUGGAUCAAUCCUUCAGGGCAGGGGGUGGAGCAAGGGAAGAAAGGGGAGCUGUGCCAAGGGGUCUACCAGUGGGCCCAGGGCAGAUCCCAAGUCCAUAAGCAAUAGGAUCAGGUCCAGGUACCACCUUCUUGAAAUCUGAGGCUGCUGCUGUACUUCCUGCCCCUGCUACCUUGGGCCUGGGGCUGUAAAUGUCAUCAGAUAGUCCACCUGGAAGGGCCUGUGGAAAGCAAAAUCAGAGAAACAAGGCAGGAGCUGGCCACUUGUGAAAUUUUUCCUGGAAACUCUGUCAUGGAAUCAUGUUUUAGAUACCAGAAGGAAGGGCUGCUCUGACUAACUGACCAUGAAUCGGAGAAGAGGCCUGCGAUGAUCUAGGCAGUGGGUUAUGGGAGAGGAAUGGAAAACUGCAGAAUGGAUUCUCCAGCCCAUUCAGCGCUCAUACUACAUGGGCAUGUUCACAGACCUGCAGGCUUUGCCUUUGUCUGUCUCCCUGCUUUUGGAAGGGAUGGCACAGCUUUGCCCCCUUUCCUGGAGGCACAGUAGUCUGACUUGAGUCUUUCGCUGUCUUCUGUAUCCAACUCAUUCAUGAAAUUAUAUGAGAUAAUUUCCAAAUAAGUGACUUUUUUGGCUUAUUUGCCCAAUUGACUUAAUUAUUGCCGGUUUAUUCUUCUUGUUUUGGAUUCCUUGAGCUGAGAGAGUGAAAAAGGGAGUUUAUUUAAGAAGAUAAGGACAGAUUAGGUUUUCAAUUUGGUGGUAUGAUGCAGUCUGCUUUCUUAACUCUAUUAUGACCUAUUUAGUGUUUGUUUUUCUCUUAUUGUGGAAGUAACAUAUGCUGAUUAUAGAGAUAUAGAAAAAGAUAAAAAGUAUCCAUUUCAAUUGACCAAUAAUGUCCUCUCAGCAAUUUGGUGUAUAUCAUGUAUUUUUAAAUAAACAGAUUGCUUUGUAAAUACACUUUAUAUCUUACUGUUGUAACAUUAAAAAAAAGGUGGUUAAAAUGGCGAGCAAGUGCAGAACAGCAGCACUUGGAAAGUAAGCUGGGGAUGGCAAAAGCCUCAAUUUCUGUUUCCACAAAGCACUCUGUUCUCUUUGUUGAUCACUGAGACCCAGAAGCUACCAUCUCCAGUGGAACUGGAACCUUUGUUUUUCUUGAUCUCUGCAUCGUGUGGCUCAGCCCCGGUUGGAACUGAAGCUUGGAAUAAAGCCACAGUGAGCUGGGUCACACUGUUUCUUAGACUUCCCCCCACAGUACCUUGUUUGGAGAGAAUUAUAACUGAAAGGGAAAAAAUUCCCUCUGGCAAGAAACUUGGCUUAGAAAUGCUCAUUUGGAGAAGCUUAUUAUUAUUAUUAUUUUUUGGUUUUGCUGUUUAAAUAAGGUCACUGCUAUAAAUCAAUGUUUGUGAGUGUUAGAGAAGACCAAGUAAAUAAAUAAAGCCCUACGUAUUUAUUGUAAACAGAAACACCCUAGAGGUUCUCCAGGGGAAGAGAGAGUGAGAGAAAGGUCACCAUUUCUUGCAUACAGAAAAUUAACUGUUUCAUUAGUUUAGAUAGAAACACAUUUUUUCUUUAAAAUUAGUUAUGAGGAAAAUAUUUCCAAGUUUGUGCCUCUUAUUAGGUGUAUGAAGUAUCAAAAAUAUUAAGUACAACUAACAGCAUUAGGACUUGUUCUCACCUCAACUCCAUCAUCUGAAUAAAACCACUGAAAAAGAGAAAAACAGCUCCUGACGUAAGGAAACUGGCCUGAUAUUUACAUCUAGUUCAUAGUGUUUGCCUGUUGGACACAAAUGAUCUCAUAGAACAUCAACAACAGACCAAGGCACUCUGACUAUAAUGGAGUGAGAGAAAAAACAAGUGAGACAAGACAACUUCAAAAUUUUGUCUAAGCACAGGCAAAACCAAAUGACCCAAAUACCAGACAUCCUCCUCUCUUGGCUAACAUGAGUGACUAUCAAAGCUUUAGCCUCUAUGUGUUCCUCUUGACUUAUAGAGAAGAUUCAUUAGGAUACUGAUAUGGUUUGGCUCUGUAUCCUCACCCAAAUCUCAUCUUGUAGCUCCCAGAAUUCCCACGUGUUAUGGGAGGGACCCAGUGGGAGAUAAUUGAGUCAUGAGGGCGGGUCUUUCCUGUGCUGUUCUCGUGAUAAUAAAUAAGUCUCAUGAGAUCUGAAGGUUUUAAAAAUGGGAGUUUCCCUGCACAAGUUCUCUUCUCUUGUCUGCUGCCAUGUGAGAUGUGCCUUUCACCUUCUGCUGUGAUUGUGAGGCCUUCCCAGCCACAUGGAACUGUAAGUCCAAU